Molecule: ribosomal RNA, 1184 nt
Filed under: Salmonella enterica subsp. enterica serovar Enteritidis
Lineage: Bacteria; Pseudomonadati; Pseudomonadota; Gammaproteobacteria; Enterobacterales; Enterobacteriaceae
Description: partial 23S ribosomal RNA
Rfam family: Bacterial large subunit ribosomal RNA
Source: RNAcentral
GGCUAAACCAUGCACCGAAGCUGCGGCAGCGACACUGUGUGUUGUUGGGUAGGGGAGCGUUCUGUAAGCCUGUGAAGGUGUGUCGUGAGGCAUGCUGGAGGUAUCAGAAGUGCGAAUGCUGACAUAAGUAACGAUAAAGCGGGUGAAAAGCCCGCUCGCCGGAAGACCAAGGGUUCCUGUCCAACGUUAAUCGGGGCAGGGUGAGUCGACCCCUAAGGCGAGGCCGAAAGGCGUAGUCGAUGGGAAACGGGUUAAUAUUCCCGUACUUGGUGUUACUGCGAAGGGGGGACGGAGAAGGCUAUGUUGGCCGGGCGACGGUUGUCCCGGUUUAAGCGUGUAGGUGUGUGUUCCAGGUAAAUCCGGUUCACUUUAACACUGAGGCGUGACGACGAGGCACUACGGUGCUGAAGCAACAAAUGCCCUGCUUCCAGGAAAAGCCUCUAAGCAUCAGGUAACAUCAAAUCGUACCCCAAACCGACACAGGUGGUCAGGUAGAGAAUACCAAGGCGCUUGAGAGAACUCGGGUGAAGGAACUAGGCAAAAUGGUGCCGUAACUUCGGGAGAAGGCACGCUGACACGUAGGUGAAGUGAUUUACUCAUGGAGCUGAAGUCAGUCGAAGAUACCAGCUGGCUGCAACUGUUUAUUAAAAACACAGCACUGUGCAAACACGAAAGUGGACGUAUACGGUGUGACGCCUGCCCGGUGCCGGAAGGUUAAUUGAUGGGGUCAGCGCAAGCGAAGCUCCUGAUCGAAGCCCCGGUAAACGGCGGCCGUAACUAUAACGGUCCUAAGGUAGCGAAAUUCCUUGUCGGGUAAGUUCCGACCUGCACGAAUGGCGUAAUGAUGGCCAGGCUGUCUCCACCCGAGACUCAGUGAAAUUGAACUCGCUGUGAAGAUGCAGUGUACCCGCGGCAAGACGGAAAGACCCCGUGAACCUUUACUAUAGCUUGACACUGAACAUUGAGCCUUGAUGUGUAGGAUAGGUGGGAGGCUUUGAAGUGUGGACGCCAGUCUGCAUGGAGCCGACCUUGAAAUACCACCCUUUAAUGUUUGAUGUUCUAACGUGGACCCGUUACCCGGGUUGCGGACAGUGUCUGGUGGGUAGUUUGACUGGGGCGGUCUCCUCCUAAAGAGUAACGGAGGAGCACGAAGGUUGGCUAAUCCUGGUCGGACAUCAGGAGGU